RNAcentral lists this ribosomal RNA (301 nucleotides) under uncultured bacterium. RNAcentral's name for it is "partial 16S ribosomal RNA". It matches the Rfam family "Bacterial small subunit ribosomal RNA", at positions 509 to 807 of the family's 1533-position model. The record is from RNAcentral.
CAGCCGCCGCGGUAAUACGAAGGGUGCAAGCGUUAAUCGGAAUUACUGGGCGUAAAGCGUGCGUAGGCGGUGAGUUAAGUCUGCUGUGAAAUCCCCGGGCUCAACCUGGGAAUGGCAGUGGAUACUGGCUCGCUAGAGUGUGUCAGAGGAUGGUGGAAUUCCCGGUGUAGCGGUGAAAUGCGCAGAGAUCGGGAGGAACAUCAGUGGCGAAGGCGGCCAUCUGGGACAACACUGACGCUGAGGCACGAAAGCGUGGGGAGCAAACAGGAUUAGAUACCCCGGUAGUCCCUGUCUCUUAUAC